GAGUUUGAUCUUGGCUCAGAUUGAACGCUGGCGGCAGGCCUAACACGUGCAAGUCGAGCGGAUGAAGGGAGCUUGCUCCUGGAUUCAGCGGCGGACGGGUGAGUAAUGCCUAGGAAUCUGCCUGGGUAGUGGGGGAUAACGUCCGGAAACGGGCGCUAAUACCGCAUACGUCCUGAGGGAGAAAGUGGGGGAUCUUCGGACCUCACGCUAUCAGACGAGCCUAGGUCGGAUUAGCUAGUUGGUGGGUAAAGGCUACCAAGGCGACGAUCCGUAACUGGUCUGAGAGGAUGAUCAGUCACACUGGAACUGAGACACGGUCCAGACUCCUACGGGAGGCAGCAGUGGGGAAUAUUGGACAAUGGGCGAAAGCCUGAUCAGCCAUGCCGCGUGUGUGAAGAGGUCUUCGGAUUGUAAAGCAC
This 419-nucleotide ribosomal RNA is filed under the name uncultured microorganism. Its description in RNAcentral is "bacterial SSU rRNA". It matches the Rfam family "Bacterial small subunit ribosomal RNA", at positions 9 to 433 of the family's 1533-position model. The record is from RNAcentral.